This 61-nucleotide transfer RNA is filed under the name Loxopholis percarinatum. RNAcentral describes it as "tRNA-Ser". Lineage: Eukaryota; Metazoa; Chordata; Lepidosauria; Squamata; Gymnophthalmidae. The record is from RNAcentral.
AGGGGCUGUUAUAACCGUGUUGCUAACACGCAUAAACCAGACACCAUACUCUGGCACCCUU